UACAGAGGGUGCAAGCGUUAAUCGGAAUGACUGGGCGUAAAGGGCACGUAGGCGGUUAGAUGAGUCAUAGGUGAAAUCCCCGGGCUUAACCUGGGAACUGCCUGUGAAACUAUUUAGCUAGAAUAUAGGAGAGGGAAGUGGAAUUUCCGGUGUAGCGGUGAAAUGCGUAGAUAUCGGAAAGAACACCAGUGGCGAAGGCGACUUCCUGGUCUAAUAUUGACGCUGAGGUGCGAAAGCGUGGGGAGCAAACGGG
This 253-nucleotide ribosomal RNA is filed under the name uncultured bacterium. Its description in RNAcentral is "partial 16S ribosomal RNA". It matches the Rfam family "Bacterial small subunit ribosomal RNA", at positions 524 to 776 of the family's 1533-position model. The record is from RNAcentral.